CCCUGAAGGCUGAGACUGUUCGUUACUGUUGCUUGGUCUUUGCAUUUCCACUGCCUUGCACAUAGUAGGGCUUUAAUGAAACCUUGUUGGGUUGUUUGGAAGAUACCCAAUGGUGGUCCUCCAGGCAUGCCUUGUCGAUCCAGAGCCAAAGAGGUGACUCUGACUUUUGGACAUAGUCAAAAGUUAUUCAGAGCCAAGUCCUGUGAAGAGAGCGGUAAUUAACCUGCCAGAUAAUGGCAUGACCACUGAAAAUAACAAAUGAGUUGGACAUCUUGAGAAAUGGGACCAAUUUCCUUGUGUUCCUUCGAAUUGAUUCUGAAGAUUUAGUAAGGCUCUGCCAAAGAUGAUCUCAGUACUUCUAUGGGAGGAUGGAAAGCACUGCGAAUGCCAAGCAUCUGCAAGUUUAAACUGAGGAAGAAUAUUCUAAGAUCCUUCAAAUCAUGUUCAAGACAGUGUGAUCCGCCACUUGCUCUGGAGACGGUGCUGGCCUCAACAUGCUGACUCAGCAUCACUCUCAGACAUAAAUUUGUCUUAUUGUACACUCUUCCUAAAAGUGAUUGCUCUGAAAAUGUCGCAAUAUUUUCAGGACUCCUGCAAGGUCUGAUUGCUUUUGAGGUUGGUUCCAAAUAGCUGACACUCGGGAAGAGUGAAUGGUUCUGACCAUGGGUUCUGGUGCAUAAAGGGUUAUGUUCCCAGAGAAUAAAAGCUUCUA
Molecule: non-coding RNA, 712 nt
Organism: Phascolarctos cinereus (koala)
Lineage: Eukaryota; Metazoa; Chordata; Mammalia; Diprotodontia; Phascolarctidae
Source: RefSeq, a predicted model, not a curated record